UUCCUUUCUUUCUUCUUGAGGAUUCACACUGCCCUUUCUGUUCACACAAGCCUCAGUAUAAAUCUUUCUCUCUCUAUCUCUUUUUUGUUUCUUUGAUUUGCUUUGCUUUUCCCUUUGAUCUAUAUCCUUUUUGGUGGGUGCAAAUUUCCAUCGAUCGUCUUUCUCAAUUAUUUUAUCCAGAUUUUGUUGCGUGUGGUGUGUGUAUUAAUGGAAGGACACCAUCCCCAUCAUCAUCAUCAUCAACAGCAACAUCAGCAGCAGCAGCAGCAGCACCAUCAGCAUCAGCAUCACAUCAGUGUUAGUGUUGAUACUGAUAGAUUUCCUCAAUGGAGUAUUCAGGAAACGAAGGAGUUCUUGAUGAUUCGAGCAGAGCUGGAUCGUACUUUCAUGGAGACUAAGAGAAAUAAACUUCUUUGGGAAGUUAUAUCUAAUAAGAUGAAAGAAAAGGGUUUCCAUCGCAGUGCAGAGCAGUGCAAGUGCAAGUGGAAAAACCUCGUUACUCGUUAUAAGGGAUGUGAAACCAUGGAACCUGAAUCUUUGCGGCAACAAUUUCCAUUCUAUAAUGAGUUGCAAGCGAUAUUCGCAGCAAGGAUGCAAAGGAUGUUAUGGGCUGAAGCUGAAGGAGGUGCAGGCGGGUCUAGUAAAAAGAAAGCGGUGCAGGUAUUAUCCGAUGAGGAGGAUGAUAACGAAGAUAGUGAAGGAGAGAAGGGUAGCAUUAAAAAGAAGAAAAAGACCAAAAGCACUACCACUGGUGGAAGUGGGAGUGUAAAUAAUAAUAAUAAUUUAAAGGAGAUCUUGAGGGAUUUCAUGAGGCAACAGAUGCAAAUGGAGAUGCAAUGGAGAGAAGCCUUCGAAGCGAGGGAAAACGAGAGAAGGAUAAAGGAAAUGGAGUGGAGACAGACGAUGGAAGCAUUAGAGAACGAGAGGAUAAUGAUGGACAGGAGAUGGAGAGAGCGUGAAGAACAAAGAAGAAUGAGAGAAGAAGCUAGGGCUGAGAAAAGGGACGCACUUAUUACAGCACUUCUGAACAAGCUCAGAAGAGAAGAAAUGUAACCAGGCGUUUUGCUUAAGCAUUUCUUGUUUAGAACAACAACAGCAACAAGAAGUAAGAGCUUCCAGAGGGGUUUGCACUGCAACAUAUGUACAUUUAUGGAUGGCGGAGGCGGUGGUGGUGGUGCAAAUGUUUCUUGCUGCUAACAAAGUUUUCAACUUUGAACCUUGACUGUGAAAGUCAAAAAAAUGUGCUUACGACUUGUUUUGAUUUUGCUUCUGGAAUAGUUAAUGUGAGAGACAAAUUCUAAUUGUAAUUCUGAAGAUGGAGAAAAGAAAAAAAGAAGAAGAAAUUCAGAAUAUGUGCAUUUGGUUUUGUCAUGUGCAUGAGGUAGGACAAACCAACAAGCAAUCAGAAGAUUGCCCAUUUGGGGAAACAGGCUGGCUGUUGAGCUUCUGAAUUUUCCUACGUGGGAAAACAAAAAUUGGAUUCUGGAAGGAGAUGCCACCGAUGUUGAUUAUAUUUAUGGAAGUCGGCCCUAUAGCUAUAUUUAGGCAUAUAACUAUAUAUAUAUAUAUAUACACACACAUAUAGCUGUUAGAGGUUCUUUAAGAAAUGAUAUGUCUAUCUACUAGCUAUAUGCAUGAGCAAACAGAUUUUAUUUUAUUUUAUUUUGUUUUUACACUGGUGAAUACAUGUGUAACACAAAUUAGGUUAAUUAGUAUGUGUGUUUCGUGGAAUGUCUUUUUUCUU
Molecule: RNA transcript, 1744 nt
Organism: Ricinus communis (castor bean)
Lineage: Eukaryota; Viridiplantae; Streptophyta; Magnoliopsida; Malpighiales; Euphorbiaceae
Gene name: trihelix transcription factor GT-3b
Exons: 3
Source: RefSeq, a predicted model, not a curated record